UAUGGUCAAGUGAAGAAGCGCAUACGGUGGAUGCCUUGGCAGUCAGAGGCGAUGAAAGACGUGGUAGCCUGCGAAAAGCUUCGGGGAGUCGGCAAACAGACUUUGAUCCGGAGAUGUCUGAAUGGGGGAACCCAGCCAUCAUAAGAUGGUUACCUUACACUGAAUACAUAGGUGUAUGGAGCGAACCAGGGGAACUGAAACAUCUAAGUACCCUGAGGAAAAGAAAUCAACCGAGAUUCCCUUAGUAGUGGCGAGCGAACGGGGACUAGCCCUUAAGUGGCUUUGAGAUUAGCGGAACGCUCUGGAAAGUGCGGCCAUAGUGGGUGAUAGCCCUGUACGCGAAAAUCUCUUAGUCAUGAAAUCGAGUAGGACGGAGCACGAGAAACUUUGUCUGAAUAUGGGGGGACCAUCCUCCAAGGCUAAAUACUACUGACUGACCGAUAGUGAACUAGUACCGUGAGGGAAAGGCGAAAAGAACCCCGGAGAGGGGAGUGAAAUAGAUCCUGAAACCGUAUGCGUACAAGCAGUGGGAGCCCACUUUGUUGGGUGACUGCGUACCUUUUGUAUAAUGGGUCAGCGACUUAUUUUCAGUGGCGAGCUUAACCGAAUAGGGGAGGCGUAGCGAAAGCGAGUCUUAAUAGGGCGUCUAGUCGCUGGGAAUAGACCCGAAACCGGGCGAUCUAUCCAUGGGCAGGUUGAAGGUUGGGUAACACUAACUGGAGGACCGAACCGACUACCGUUGAAAAGUUAGCGGAUGACCUGUGGAUCGGAGUGAAAGGCUAAUCAAGCUCGGAGAUAGCUGGUUCUCCUCGAAAGCUAUUUAGGUAGCGCCUCAUGUAUCACUGUAGGGGGUAGAGCACUGUUUCGGCUAGGGGGUCAUCCCGACUUACCAAACCGAUGCAAACUCCGAAUACCUACAAGUGCCGAGCAUGGGAGACACACGGCGGGUGCUAACGUCCGUCGUGAAAAGGGAAACAACCCAGACCGUCAGCUAAGGUCCCAAAGUUAUGGUUAAGUGGGAAACGAUGUGGGAAGGCUUAGACAGCUAGGAGGUUGGCUUAGAAGCAGCCACCCUUUAAAGAAAGCGUAAUAGCUCACUAGUCGAGUCGGCCUGCGCGGAAGAUGUAACGGGGCUCAAACCAUACACCGAAGCUACGGGUAUCACGUAAGUGAUGCGGUAGAGGAGCGUUCUGUAAGCCUGUGAAGGUGAGUUGAGAAGCUUGCUGGAGGUAUCAGAAGUGCGAAUGCUGACAUGAGUAACGACAAUGGGUGUGAAAAACACCCACGCCGAAAGACCAAGGUUUCCUGCGCAACGUUAAUCGACGCAGGGUUAGUCGGUCCCUAAGGCGAGGCUGAAAAGCGUAGUCGAUGGAAAACAGGUUAAUAUUCCUGUACUUCUGGUUAUUGCGAUGGAGGGACGGAGAAGGCUAGGCCAGCUUGGCGUUGGUUGUCCAAGUUUAAGGUGGUAGGCUGGAAUCUUAGGUAAAUCCGGGAUUCUAAGGCCGAGAGCUGAUGACGAGUCGUCUUUUAGACGACGAAGUGGUUGAUGCCAUGCUUCCAAGAAAAGCUUCUAAGCUUCAGGUAACCAGGAACCGUACCCCAAACCGACACAGGUGGUUGGGUAGAGAAUACCAAGGCGCUUGAGAGAACUCGGGUGAAGGAACUAGGCAAAAUGGCACCGUAACUUCGGGAGAAGGUGCGCCGGUGAGGGUGAAGGACUUGCUCCGUAAGCUCAUGCCGGUCGAAGAUACCAGGCCGCUGCGACUGUUUAUUAAAAACACAGCACUCUGCAAACACGAAAGUGGACGUAUAGGGUGUGACGCCUGCCCGGUGCCGGAAGGUUAAUUGAUGGGGUUAGCUAACGCGAAGCUCUUGAUCGAAGCCCCGGUAAACGGCGGCCGUAACUAUAACGGUCCUAAGGUAGCGAAAUUCCUUGUCGGGUAAGUUCCGACCUGCACGAAUGGCGUAACGAUGGCGGCGCUGUCUCCACCCGAGACUCAGUGAAAUUGAAAUCGCUGUGAAGAUGCAGUGUAUCCGCGGCUAGACGGAAAGACCCCGUGAACCUUUACUAUAGCUUUGCACUGGACUUUGAAUUUGCUUGUGUAGGAUAGGUGGGAGGCUUUGAAGCGUGGACGCCAGUUCGCGUGGAGCCAACCUUGAAAUACCACCCUGGCAACUUUGAGGUUCUAACUCAGGUCCGUUAUCCGGAUCGAGGACAGUGUAUGGUGGGUAGUUUGACUGGGGCGGUCUCCUCCUAAAGAGUAACGGAGGAGUACGAAGGUGCGCUCAGACCGGUCGGAAAUCGGUCGUAGAGUAUAAAGGCAAAAGCGCGCUUGACUGCGAGACAGACACGUCGAGCAGGUACGAAAGUAGGUCUUAGUGAUCCGGUGGUUCUGUAUGGAAGGGCCAUCGCUCAACGGAUAAAAGGUACUCCGGGGAUAACAGGCUGAUACCGCCCAAGAGUUCAUAUCGACGGCGGUGUUUGGCACCUCGAUGUCGGCUCAUCACAUCCUGGGGCUGAAGCCGGUCCCAAGGGUAUGGCUGUUCGCCAUUUAAAGUGGUACGCGAGCUGGGUUUAGAACGUCGUGAGACAGUUCGGUCCCUAUCUGCCGUGGACGUUUGAGAUUUGAGAGGGGCUGCUCCUAGUACGAGAGGACCGGAGUGGACGAACCUCUGGUGUUCCGGUUGUCACGCCAGUGGCAUUGCCGGGUAGCUAUGUUCGGAAUAGAUAACCGCUGAAAGCAUCUAAGCGGGAAACUAGCCUCAAGAUGAGAUCUCACUGGAACCUUGAGUUCCCUGAAGGGCCGUCGAAGACUACGACGUUGAUAGGUUGGGUGUGUAAGCGCUGUGAGGCGUUGAGCUAACCAAUACUAAUUGCCCGUGAGGCUUGACCAUA
RNAcentral lists this ribosomal RNA (2896 nucleotides) under Pseudomonas orientalis. RNAcentral's name for it is "bacterial LSU rRNA". It matches the Rfam family "Bacterial large subunit ribosomal RNA". Lineage: Bacteria; Pseudomonadati; Pseudomonadota; Gammaproteobacteria; Pseudomonadales; Pseudomonadaceae. The record is from RNAcentral.